UACGGAGGAUGCAAGCGUUAUCCGGAUUUAUUGGGUUUAAAGGGUGCGUAGGCGGCCAUUUAAGUCAGCGGUGAAAUUUUGCAGCUUAACUGUAACAGUGCCGUUGAUACUGUUUGGCUAGGAUUUGGUUGUAGUGUGCGGAAUGUGUGGUGUAGCGGUGAAAUGCUUAGAUAUCACACAGAACACCGAUUGCGAAGGCAGCACACUAAGUCAUUAUUGACGCUGAGGCACGAAAGUGUGGGGAUCAAACAGGAUUA
Molecule: ribosomal RNA, 257 nt
Filed under: uncultured prokaryote
Description: partial 16S ribosomal RNA
Rfam family: Bacterial small subunit ribosomal RNA
Source: RNAcentral